AUUGAACGCUGGCGGAAUGCUUUACACAUGCAAGUCGAACGGCAGCACGGGAGCUUGCUCCUGGUGGCGAGUGGCGAACGGGUGAGUAAUGCGUCGGAACGUGCCGAGUAAUGGGGGAUAACGCAGCGAAAAGUUGUGCUAAUACCGCAUACGCCCUGAGGGGGAAAGUGGGGGAUCGCAAGACCUCACGUUAUUCGAGCGGCCGACGUCUGAUUAGCUAGUUGGUGGGGUAAAGGCCUACCAAGGCGACGAUCAGUAGCGGGUCUGAGAGGAUGAUCCGCCACACUGGGACUGAGACACGGCCCAGACUCCUACGGGAGGCAGCAGUGGGGAAUUUUGGACAAUGGGGGCGAACCCUGAUCCAGCCAUUCCGCGUGAGUGAAGAAGGCCUCGGUU
RNAcentral lists this ribosomal RNA (396 nucleotides) under uncultured bacterium. RNAcentral's name for it is "bacterial SSU rRNA". It matches the Rfam family "Bacterial small subunit ribosomal RNA", at positions 30 to 424 of the family's 1533-position model. The record is from RNAcentral.